AUGCUCUGGUUUCACUUCAAAUCGAACAAAUCUUUCGCCUUUUACUAAAGAUUUCCGUGGAGAGAAACCAUCAAGAGUUGUUUGACAAUUUUUAGAAACCUUGCUAAGGCAAGGUU
Vombatus ursinus (common wombat) is the source of this 116-nucleotide small nuclear RNA. Its record names the gene U5. It matches the Rfam family "U5 spliceosomal RNA". Rfam says of the family: U5 RNA is a component of both types of known spliceosome. The precise function of this molecule is unknown, though it is known that the 5' loop is required for splice site selection and p220 binding, and that both the 3' stem-loop and the Sm site are important for Sm protein binding and cap methylation. Lineage: Eukaryota; Metazoa; Chordata; Mammalia; Diprotodontia; Vombatidae. The record is from Ensembl.